AAACUGAAGAGUUUGAUCAUGGCUCAGAUUGAACGCUGGCGGUAUGCUUAACACAUGCAAGUCGAACGGUAACAGGCCUUCGGGCGCU
This 88-nucleotide ribosomal RNA is filed under the name Methylococcaceae bacterium. RNAcentral's name for it is "partial 16S ribosomal RNA". It matches the Rfam family "Bacterial small subunit ribosomal RNA", at positions 1 to 87 of the family's 1533-position model. Lineage: Bacteria; Pseudomonadati; Pseudomonadota; Gammaproteobacteria; Methylococcales; Methylococcaceae. The record is from RNAcentral.